Molecule: ribosomal RNA, 1369 nt
Filed under: uncultured bacterium
Lineage: Bacteria
Description: bacterial SSU rRNA
Rfam family: Bacterial small subunit ribosomal RNA
Source: RNAcentral
GACGAACGCUGGCGGCGUGCCUAAUACAUGCAAGUAGAACGCUGAAGAGAGGAGCUUGCUCUUCUUGGAUGAGUUGCGAACGGGUGAGUAACGCGUAGGUAACCUGCCUUGUAGCGGGGGAUAACUAUUGGAAACGAUAGCUAAUACCGCAUAACAAUAGGUGACACAUGUCAUUUAUUUGAAAGGGGCAAUUGCUCCACUACAAGAUGGACCUGCGUUGUAUUAGCUAGUAGGUGAGGUAACGGCUCACCUAGGCGACGAUACAUAGCCGACCUGAGAGGGUGAUCGGCCACACUGGGACUGAGACACGGCCCAGACUCCUACGGGAGGCAGCAGUAGGGAAUCUUCGGCAAUGGGGGCAACCCUGACCGAGCAACGCCGCGUGAGUGAAGAAGGUUUUCGGAUCGUAAAGCUCUGUUGUAAGUCAAGAACGAGUGUGAGAGUGGAGAGUUCACACUGUGACGGUAGCUUACCAGAAAGGGACGGCUAACUACGUGCCAGCAGCCGCGGUAAUACGUAGGUCCCGAGCGUUGUCCGGAUUUAUUGGGCGUAAAGCGAGCGCAGGCGGUUUGAUAAGUCUGAAGUUAAAGGCUGUGGCUCAACCAUAGUUCGCUUUGGAAACUGUCAAACUUGAGUGCAGAAGGGGAGAGUGGAAUUCCAUGUGUAGCGGUGAAAUGCGUAGAUAUAUGGAGGAACACCGGUGGCGAAAGCGGCUCUCUGGUCUGUAACUGACGCUGAGGCUCGAAAGCGUGGGGAGCGAACAGGAUUAGAUACCCUGGUAGUCCACGCCGUAAACGAUGAGUGCUAGGUGUUGGAUCCUUUCCGGGAUUCAGUGCCGCAGCUAACGCAUUAAGCACUCCGCCUGGGGAGUACGACCGCAAGGUUGAAACUCAAAGGAAUUGACGGGGGCCCGCACAAGCGGUGGAGCAUGUGGUUUAAUUCGAAGCAACGCGAAGAACCUUACCAGGUCUUGACAUCCCGAUGCUAUUUCUAGAGAUAGAAAGUUACUUCGGUACAUCGGUGACAGGUGGUGCAUGGUUGUCGUCAGCUCGUGUCGUGAGAUGUUGGGUUAAGUCCCGCAACGAGCGCAACCCCUAUUGUUAGUUGCCACCAUUCAGUUGGGCACUCUAGCGAGACUGCCGGUAAUAAACCGGAGGAAGGUGGGGAUGACGUCAAAUCAUCAUGCCCCUUAUGACCUGGGCUACACACGUGCUACAAUGGUUGGUACAACGAGUUGCGAGUCGGUGACGGCAAGCUAAUCUCUUAAAGCCAAUCUCAGUUCGGAUUGUAGGCUGCAACUCGCCUACAUGAAGUCGGAAUCGCUAGUAAUCGCGGAUCAGCACGCCGCGGUGAAUACGUUCCCGGGCCU